Molecule: transfer RNA, 73 nt
Filed under: Ovis aries (sheep)
Lineage: Eukaryota; Metazoa; Chordata; Mammalia; Artiodactyla; Bovidae
Rfam family: tRNA
About the family: Transfer RNA (tRNA) molecules are approximately 80 nucleotides in length. Their secondary structure includes four short double-helical elements and three loops (D, anti-codon, and T loops). Further hydrogen bonds mediate the characteristic L-shaped molecular structure. tRNAs have two regions of fundamental functional importance: the anti-codon, which is responsible for specific mRNA codon recognition, and the 3' end, to which the tRNAs corresponding amino acid is attached (by aminoacyl-tRNA synthetases). tRNAs cope with the degeneracy of the genetic code in two manners: having more than one tRNA (with a specific anti-codon) for a particular amino acid; and 'wobble' base-pairing, i.e. permitting non-standard base-pairing at the 3rd anti-codon position.
Source: Rfam by way of RNAcentral
UCCCUGAUGGUCCAGUGGUUAAGACUCUGUGCUUUCGAUGCAAGGGGCACAGGUUUGAUCCCUGGUCAGGGAA